Sapajus apella (tufted capuchin) is the source of this 87-nucleotide long non-coding RNA. RefSeq lists it as uncharacterized. The transcript has 3 exons. The record is from RefSeq and is a predicted model, not a curated record. Lineage: Eukaryota; Metazoa; Chordata; Mammalia; Primates; Cebidae.
CAGCUAAAUCAACUUGUUUUGUCAAAUUGUGCUGGAUUUAUUGUUAUAAUCAGGUAGCUGUCAAGAAUGUCGUAGAAAAAGGCGCUU